UAUUUCCGCUUUUGUCUCUGUGUCUCUCUCGCUCUAUAUCUCUCCCAAAAGACUGCGUAAAGCUAGUGGCCUAUAAACUUUGCCAAACAAAAAAAAAGGAAAAAAAAUUUUAUGGCGACUGAUGUUUAGAUGAAUCCAGUCGAGUAGUAAUUUCCAUUAGCGUCUGCUUCUGUCAGUGUUGAUGGUGUCUCAUCCGUUGGCAUGUUACUGCCACGGCCGUACUCCAUCUAUGACGAUGCCGACUCGGCUGAUCGUCAACACAUAACAUAUCGGCCAUAGAAGAGUAGCAUAGCCAUUUCUUGCCUCUCUUAAGACAUAGACCAAGCAUAAAAUAAUACAGCUACUGUAAAUCAGUGCCGACGUCCCAGAAUCUCGACGAAACGCGUUCGCUUUCAAAACUGUGAGCAGGAAGGAGGUUAUUGCUAUAAGGAUGUGGGGGUGGCGAGCGCGGGCGGGACUAUAUAUUUCCUCGCCAUGCUCCUGCUGCACAGCAGAACACAAGAGCACACACACACUUCUCGGGGGCAUUGCAUUGGAAUAUUUUAGAGGAAAAUCUACUGCCGCCGAGACAGAGGUUCUCCCAACUGUCUCCAAAGGUCCAAAAGGAAAGAAAAAAGGAGAAGCUGCUACAAACAAAUCGCGGCGGGCCAAAGUCCUGUGACUGCUGCCAACGCAACGCAUUACGGCGCUAGCCCCGCGCCGUGAAACAGCAACAGCAGCAGCAGCGGUAUGUGCCACUGUGCCUUGCUGUCCUCCCACCAUGGCAUAGCCAAACUAUGGCUGUGUGUGGCGUGCGAUCGAUGGCUUCUUUCUCCCGACAAAAUAUUGACCCCCACAGCGUCGACAUUGUCGCCCCAUAAAUUAGACUUGAUAAGGGUUUCGCAUGCCAUGAACUAGAUUCCUCAGACUCGCUUCUUGCAUACGUAUUACGUUCCACGCAGCGUGCAGCAGUCGUGUGGCGCGGGCGCAUUAUAAAUAUCGCGGCCUCUCUUCCCUGGCUCCGAGUCCUCUGACUAGUUGCCCCAGUGUCGCAUUGAGGUUAAUGCCAAGGCGCGGCUUGUUUUUUGUUUUUUUCUUUUCUGGCGCUGAAUCAAAGUCGACCGACGAUAUUCCCCCACGCUCUGCCAGUUGAAUUUCCCUUUUUUUUUAUUUGCCUUUCUUGAUUGCUCUCUGGUGAUUUCUUUUUUUGAUGCGGACAACAUAAUAAACGACUAAAUUGGCAUUCGGAAGUUAGCGAAAGACUUGGGCAAGUAGCACUAGUAGUAGUCCCUCAUUUCCGCCUGUUAUUCAAACUCGCAAGGAAUUCUCCCAGUUGGUUACGUACCCCCAAUUGAUGAGGCCCUCAAAGCCGGGCGUAAUUUGAAUUUAGCUGUUUUUUUUAAAGCAACCAGCGACGAGGAAUUGGGCAAAAGGGAAGGAAAAGUUGGCGCACUUCUUUUUAUUUGAGCGUUCGUUAGUGGAAUCUUUGAACUGCUUCCCAUCCAAAAAGUUGUCCUCUUUGUAGUACCCAAUGAGGUAGGCACACGGCUACAUAUUGAUUAUUUUCUAUUGUGUUUCUAAAUCUACGAAAUUAGAAAAGAGAGAGAGAGAGAGAAAAAAGAUACACCCAGGAUCGAAGAGAAGUAUUCUUUUCACGUCGUCAUCACGAUCCAUAAUUUGACUUCGCAGUGACCUAUUUAUUCACUAUUUUUAGACCCGGUUGCUAUAGCGAUAAGCGAGAAAAACAGAAUUAUAUCGUUAGAAAUAAGAUCAGGUUGCAACAUCCGAAAAAAAAGAUGCGAAACAGGAUACCGACAUUUAAAAAAAAUCAGAAAAAGGAAAACAGACGGGGGACGCAACAGUAAAAGAAAAAUUGCCACUUUACGACACGACAGUCACCUCUUUCUUCCAACCGAUCAGCGAGCGCAAACAGGAAGUGUGUCUGCGAUGGCUUGUGUUACGUGUAUCGGUUUUCCAAGAAAGAAAAGAAGAAGAAGAAGAAAAAGAGAAAAAUCGCUGCCAAGGCGCUGCUGGAUCAAAUGAAGCUGCCAGCGGCAGCCGAACAGGAUUUUGACUGGCACACUGUAAACGCUAUAGAGUCAUGCACACGCCAUGUGGCAUGAAAAAGUCGACGUUCAAAUACUGAACUUUCAGCCCAAGGAAAACUCAAACGAAUGGGACCCUACGCUCCUGAACAAGACACCUGGUGAAACGGAGAGAACUUUCGUAUAUAGUCGGUCGCAUAUUGAUCAAACGAGAACGCGCUGGAUAUACUGUAGCUGAUGCAUGUGCGAUUGCACAGAGUUUCUCUGUGCACCGCUAUAGCACGAGAAGACACAUUUUCUGCAUAAUAAAUCAGGGACGUGGAAAAAAGGAGCUGAGAAAGGAGCCCGGGGAUGAUCACGAAAACGUCAACAAAACAAGCACUAAAGUUGCCAAAAAAGUUUUCUUUUCUUUAUUAUUAUUAUUAUAUUCCGUUGCCCGAUUCCCAUUGCGCCGCUGUUGUUUACUGUGGCGUGAAAAAAAAAGAGAAACAGCAUUAAUAAUU
Molecule: long non-coding RNA, 2527 nt
Organism: Daphnia pulex (common water flea)
Lineage: Eukaryota; Metazoa; Arthropoda; Branchiopoda; Diplostraca; Daphniidae
Exons: 2
Source: RefSeq, a predicted model, not a curated record